RNAcentral lists this ribosomal RNA (338 nucleotides) under uncultured bacterium. RNAcentral describes it as "bacterial SSU rRNA". It matches the Rfam family "Bacterial small subunit ribosomal RNA", at positions 144 to 507 of the family's 1533-position model. The record is from RNAcentral.
UAACGGGUCGAAAGACUCGCUAAUACCGAAUAUGACGAAAGUUGAAAGGAGUAAUCCGUCUAAAGAUGAGCCCGCGUCCGAUUAGCUAGUUGGUAGAGUAAAAGCCUACCAAGGCGACGAUCGGUAGCUGGUCUGAGAGGAUGAUCAGCCACAAUGGGACUGAGACACGGCCCAUACUCCUACGGGGAGGCAGCAGUGGGGUAAUUUUACGCAAGUGGGACGAAAGCCUGACGUAGCGACACCGCGUGAGCGAAGAACGCCCCGUUGGGGUGUAAGGCUCUGUCAGCUGGAACGAAAAAAUGACGGUACCAGCAGAGGAAGCAUCGGCUAACUACGUG